Molecule: ribosomal RNA, 500 nt
Filed under: uncultured bacterium
Lineage: Bacteria
Description: bacterial SSU rRNA
Rfam family: Bacterial small subunit ribosomal RNA
Source: RNAcentral
UAGUCCACGCCGUAAACGAUGGUCACUAGCUGUUUGGACUUCGGUCUGAGUGGCUAAGCGAAAGUGAUAAGUGACCCACCUGGGGAGUACGUUCGCAAGAAUGAAACUCAAAGGAAUUGACGGGGGCCCGCACAAGCGGUGGAGCAUGUGGUUUAAUUCGAUGAUACGCGAGGAACCUUACCAGGGCUUAAAUGUAAUAUGACAGGGGUAGAAGUACCUUUUCCUUCGGGCAUAUUACAAGGUGCUGCAUGGUUGUCGUCAGCUCGUGCCGUGAGGUGUCAGGUUAAGUCCUAUAACGAGCGCAACCCCUGUUGUUAGUUGCCAGCGAGUAAUGUCGGGAACUCUAGCAAGACUGCCGGUGCAAACCGUGAGGAAGGUGGGGAUGACGUCAAAUCAUCACGGCCCUUACGUCCUGGGCUACACACGUGCUACAAUGGUAGGUACAGAGAGCAGCCACUACGCGAGUAGGAGCGAAUCUAUAAAACCUAUCACAGCUCGGA